This 445-nucleotide ribosomal RNA is filed under the name uncultured bacterium. RNAcentral describes it as "bacterial SSU rRNA". It matches the Rfam family "Bacterial small subunit ribosomal RNA", at positions 354 to 796 of the family's 1533-position model. The record is from RNAcentral.
GUAAGGAAUAUUGGGCAAUGGACGCAAGUCUGACCCAGCCAUGCCGCGUGAAGGAUGACGGUCCUCUGGAUUGUAAACUUCUUUUAUCUGGGGCGAAAACCACCCUUUCUAGGGUGCUUGACAGUACCAGAUGAAUAAGCACCGGCUAACUCCGUGCCAGCAGCCGCGGUAAUACGGAGGGUGCAAGCGUUAUCCGGAUUCACUGGGUUUAAAGGGUGCGUAGGCGGGCAGGUAAGUCAGUGGUGAAAUCUUCGAGCUUAACUCGGAAACUGCCGUUGAUACUAUCUGUCUUGAAUAUAGUGGAGGUAAGCGGAAUAUGUCAUGUAGCGGUGAAAUGCUUAGAUAUGACAUAGAACACCAAUUGCGAAGGCAGCUUGCUACACUAUUAUUGACGCUGAGGCACGAAAGCGUGGGGAUCAAACAGGAUUAGAAACCCCAGUAGUCC